This 255-nucleotide ribosomal RNA is filed under the name uncultured bacterium. RNAcentral's name for it is "partial 16S ribosomal RNA". It matches the Rfam family "Bacterial small subunit ribosomal RNA", at positions 524 to 777 of the family's 1533-position model. The record is from RNAcentral.
UACAGAGGGGGGCAAGCGUUGUUCGGAAUUACUGGGCGUAAAGGGCGCGUAGGCGGCCUGCUAAGUCGAACGUGAAAUCCCUGGGCUCAACCCAGGAACUGCGUCCGAUACUGGUUGGCUUGAAUCCGGGAGAGGGACGUGGAAUUCCAGGUGUAGCGGUGAAAUGCGUAGAUAUCUGGAGGAACACCGGUGGCGAAGGCGACGUCCUGGACCGGCAUUGACGCUGAGGCGCGAAAGCCAGGGGAGCAAAGCGGG